UACGGGGGGGGCAAGCGUUGUUCGGAAUUACUGGGCGUAAAGCGCGCGUAGGCGGCUUUGCAAGUCGGGUGUGAAAUCCCCAGGCUUAACCUGGGAACUGCAUUCGAGACUGCAUUGCUAGAGUAUGGGAGAGGGAAGUGGAAUUUCAGGUGUAGCGGUGAAAUGCGUAGAUAUCUGAAGGAACAUCAGUGGCGAAAGCGACUUCCUGGACCAAUACUGACGCUCAUGUGCGAAAGCGUGGGGAGCAAACAGG
This 253-nucleotide ribosomal RNA is filed under the name uncultured bacterium. RNAcentral's name for it is "partial 16S ribosomal RNA". It matches the Rfam family "Bacterial small subunit ribosomal RNA", at positions 524 to 776 of the family's 1533-position model. The record is from RNAcentral.